This is a long non-coding RNA of Triticum dicoccoides, 469 nucleotides long. RefSeq lists it as uncharacterized. The transcript has 4 exons. The record is from RefSeq and is a predicted model, not a curated record. Lineage: Eukaryota; Viridiplantae; Streptophyta; Magnoliopsida; Poales; Poaceae.
UCUAGUCUUCUUGCUUCUCUUGGAGCUUGGGAGAGGAUUGAAAUUUUUCGCCAAUUUGCGCCAGAUCAUGCUAGAAUAGGAGAGCAAGACAAUUGUCGUGACCACGGUGGAGAUGUCACCAAGAAGCUGAAAUUCUGUUGAUUGGCCUUGGUUGCUCCAUUAAUAUUGGUUCCUAAGGCUUAGAUCAAGAGGUGGAAGGCGCAAAAGACUUAAGUGGUGGAUUCCUCACAGGGUGCCGCGGGCGGUCAGCCGCCUGUGGAACCAGUUAAGAUGAAGGGCCUUCUCAAGGGCCUCCGAUACAUCUCGCAAAUAUUCGACCCCAAGGAGCCGGAGAUCCAGAUCGGCGCCCCGACGGACGUGAAGCACGUCGCGCACAUCGGCUGGGACAACAACUCCGUCGCCAACCCCGCCUGGAUGAACGAGUUCAAGUCACAGCAGGGAGCGUCGGGGAGCGGCGGGCCGGAGGGCG